CCGGGAUGGAUUUCCAGACAUCUUCGUCAAGCCCUAGAAAAAAAUUUACAAUUCAUAUAAGAUAUAAGCGAAAUAGACAUAUUUAUAAAUUUGAAGAUAUAAAUUUCAAACAACAUAAAUUUUUAUAAUGGUUACCUUUUUCUCUUUACAGAAGUGUUAGGUUCUACAGAAU
This 172-nucleotide microRNA precursor is filed under the name Asparagus officinalis (garden asparagus). RNAcentral's name for it is "miR12160 stem-loop (aof-MIR12160)". Lineage: Eukaryota; Viridiplantae; Streptophyta; Magnoliopsida; Asparagales; Asparagaceae. The record is from miRBase by way of RNAcentral.